RNAcentral lists this long non-coding RNA (455 nucleotides) under Spirodela polyrhiza (greater duckweed). RNAcentral describes it as "long non-coding RNA (SPOL_LNC000673)". Lineage: Eukaryota; Viridiplantae; Streptophyta; Magnoliopsida; Alismatales; Araceae. The record is from RNAcentral.
CUUGCUCCUCCUCGAGCUCCCUGUUCAUGGUCCUCUGCGGGUAGGGCUCAGGGGGAAGCGGGGUCUCUGUGAGCCUUUCUUCUUGCUCGUCUUGUCGGGAAGACGAUGGCGCUCGAUCUGAUGGGCCUGUCGAGGAUGGACGAGCAGCUCGCGAUUCAGGAGGCGGCGGCGGCGGGCAUCCGCAGCAUGGAGCACCUCGUCUUCCAGCUCUCCGGGCCUGCCCGGCACAACCAAGUGGACUGCAGGGAGAUCGCCGAUUUCACGGUGACCAAGUUCAAGAAGGUCAUCUCCUUGCUGAAUCGGACAGGCCACGCGCGGUUCCGCAGGGGUGGCGCUGCCACCGCCGCUUCAUCCGCUCCCUCCUCCGCCGGCGCUGCCAGGCGGGCGCCGCCGGCCACGCCGUCCUUCUCCGCCCCCGUCACCACGGAUCUGAACUUCGCCCCUGUGUCGCCGCC